ACGAUUUUUCGGGGUGGAACCAAAAGUUGAAGAAGUUUGGUUCCGCCCGGAUGUUUCCGUCCAGACCGGAAAACAGAAACACCGGACAUCCGGCAGCUUCGCGAAGGCUGUAAUCAGCCGAUUGGGCACAGCUGUGCCUAGUUAAAGAGAUCGCCGGGCAAUUGGAUAACUGGAGUACAGAGAGGAGUAUAAAAAGCACAGUUAGAUCACAGUUGAGGGUCGUAGUGUGUGCUGAGGAACGGAGCUGUGCUCAUUGUUAGACGUGGUGGCUGUCUGUAUUUCUCUCUCUCUCCCUCUCUUGUUGUAGUUUACGGUGGACCUGCUGGAGUAAAUGAAGAAUCCUAUGGGUAGAAAGGAACCUUGGUCUAACCAGUAUUUUUGAAGGAGUAAACAGGAAGAAAAUUGACCUUGUUGCACAACGUAAACAAAGGCUAUCCGCUGUGAGUAUACCCGUUGGUGUGGAGUAACUUGCAUAAAUUAACCUGUGUGAUCGUUGGAGUCCUCCAGGACUAGGAGGGCGGCCCUACCCCUAUAACAGCGUGGUGGGCGAGCCGCUAGAAGUGUACGUCCAAACAGCCACAGCAACGAGACUUUAUUUUGGUCGUGUUUCCAUCGCCCCUCUUUCAGCCCAAGCGCAGUGGAGGACACCGGGCGCUUUCCCUUGUGGUGUUGCACUGAUAGUGUGAGUCAGAGGCGAAAGGGUCCGCCGCCCCCGUGGUCUCUACAAAAGGGCGCCCCUGUCCAGGAUUCGAUCGGCCUACGGGCAGUGGAGGUAGGGCAGCGCUCGACCCGGCGAGGUGGUGUGUGACCUUCGCCCCUCUGCUGACCUACAGAGGAAACCGUACCUACCCAGAAAGCUGUAAGCAGCAGAGCCGGUGAGAGAUACUCGAAGUUUCAGUAACAGUGUCUUUGUGUCCUAGCGACCACCUGUGGAGAGAGAGGAAAACCAGAGUGAAUAAUUGAAGAACAGACUGUGAACGUAAUACCUACCCAGAGAGCUGUAAGCAGCAGAGCCGGUGAGAAAUACUCGAAGUCUCAGUAACAGUGUCUUUGUGUCCUAGCGACCACCUGUGGAGAGAGAGGAAAACAAGAGUGAAUAAUUGAAGAACAGACUGUGAACGUGAUACCUACCCAGAAAGCUGUAAGCAGCAGAGCCGGUGAGCAAUACUCGAAGUUUCAGUAACAGUGUCUUUGUGUCCUAGCGACCACCUGUGGAGAGAGAGGAAAACAAGAGUGAAUAAUUGAAGAACAGACUGUGAACGUGAUACCUACCCAGAACGCUGUAAGCAGCAGAGCCGGUGAGCAAUACUCGAAGUUUCAGUAACAGUGUCUAUGUGUCCUAGCGACCACCUGUGGAGAGAGAGGAAAACAAGAGUGAAUAAUUGAAGAACAGACUGUGAAUGUGAUACCUACCCAGAAAGCUGUAAGCAGCAGAGCCGGUGAGAAAUACUCGAAGUUUCAGUAACAGUGCCCUUGUAUCCUAGCGACCACCUGUGGAGAGAGAGGAAAACGAGAGUGAAUAAUUGGAGAACAGACUGUGAACGUGAUACCUACCCAGAAAGCUGUAAGCAGCAGAGCCGGUGAGAAAUACUCGAAGUUUCAGUAACAGUGUCUUUGUGUCCUAGUGGCCGCCUGUGGAGAGAAAGGAAGACGAGAGUGAACAAUUGGAGAACAGACCGUGUAACGUGCUACCUACCCCGAGAGCAGUAAACAGCAGAACCGGUGAGGAAUAUACCAAAUCCAAGCUAACAGUGUUUCUGUGUCGCAGUGAUCACCUGUGGGGAAUAAGGAGAACGAGGGUGGACGUACGACGGGGAACGUGAAGGCACGCGGGGCGAGACCCCCUGCCGAACUGAGGAAAGGUACACGGACAGUGGGAAAUCCCCUACCAGUCACACCGAAAUUGUCUGCCUCCAGGAAAGAAGAAGGAGGGCGCCACGGUUAGCAGGGUCCAGGCCGGAGCCUGACGUUUCCCUCUUCCCCCCGGCUUAUGGUGGUUGGCACCCCUGUUGCCUUUGCCCCAGUCUGCCCGUGGCUGUAGUCUCCCUGGAGGGAGGAGAAGAAGCCUAUUAGUUCUAAAUUCCCCUUUCCCCAAUUCCCCAGUUCUUUUAAGUAUUUAAAUCAAAUAAAGCUUGUUUUAAAUUUUACUCA
Non-coding RNA from Misgurnus anguillicaudatus (oriental weatherfish), 2151 nucleotides. Lineage: Eukaryota; Metazoa; Chordata; Actinopteri; Cypriniformes; Cobitidae. The record is from RefSeq and is a predicted model, not a curated record.